CUGAGGCUGGUUUGAGGCUGUCACUUAUGUCUCUGGCCCUUGUAUAUCCAGGGAAAGAGGAAGGCUAUGACAGACAGAGUGGGCUCAGAUCGGAGGUGUGAACAGAUCUCACCCACCGAUGGACGUCUGAAUCCACAGUGAUGACAUCAUUGGAAAGUACGGGAUGCUGGGUCCCAGGUGGAGUUUUGGACACUGGACUGUCUGAGAUCAACAAGGUUUCUCAGCAUGUGAAACUUUCUGUGUAAAAACUGGGUCCAGCCGGAGAACACUCGGUUUAUGGUCAUGCAGCCUCUGGAGCACACGCAUAACCCAAGGGACAGGAGAGGAGCCAGCAGCCAUUCAUCCCAACUCUCUUAGUGAAUGAUCUUAAUGGUGAGGCAUCCUCAUGUUCGUCCUGUGUGCUGCGAAGGCUCCUGUUCACCCCUCUCUCUGAUUCCUGACUGGAUGAGGAUGCUUAUAGUUUCUGGAUAUUUAAAAGUUUUUCCUUUGAAGAUUGUUACACAUCCUUUAUCAGGUUGAAAACUGGUUUUAAACUCCUGGUACGAUAACCAUGAUAAAUUAAUGAUAAAUAAAAGUUUUGUACAUCUAUGAA
Long non-coding RNA from Grammomys surdaster, 592 nucleotides. RefSeq lists it as uncharacterized. NCBI's taxonomy places the organism in Eukaryota, Metazoa, Chordata, Mammalia, Rodentia, Muridae. The transcript is spliced from 4 exons. The record is from RefSeq and is a predicted model, not a curated record.